Molecule: ribosomal RNA, 2059 nt
Filed under: seawater metagenome
Description: bacterial LSU rRNA
Rfam family: Bacterial large subunit ribosomal RNA
Source: RNAcentral
AGAGCAUUUGGUGGAUGCCUUGGCAUAAAGAGGCGAUGAAGGACGUGACAGACUGCGAUAAGCUCGGGCUUGCUGUCAAUAAGCUUAACCCGAGAUUUCCGAAUGGGGAAACCCGAUUACUUAUAAGUGAAUUCAUAGCUUAUAAGGGCGAACCUAGGGAACUGAAACAUCUAAGUACCUAGAGGAAAAGAUAUUCCGUUAGUAGUGGCGAGCGAACGCGGACCAGGCCAGUGCUACUUUUUACUAAACCAGAACUGUAUGGAAAGGCAGGCCAUAGUGAGUGAUAGCCUCGUAUGGGUAGAUAGUAAAAACUAGACAUGAGUAGGGCGGGACACGUGAAAUCCUGUCUGAAUAUAGGAAGACCACUUCCUAAGCCUAAAUACUACUUUAUGACCGAUAGUGAACCAGUACCGUGAGGGAAAGGCGAAAAGAACCCCUAGCAGGGGAGUGAAAUAGAACCUGAAACCGCAUGCCUACAAUCAGUCGAAGCUCUUUUUAGAGUGACGGCGUACCUUUUGUAUAAUGGGUCAGUGACUUAAUUUAUAAAGCAAGCUUAAGCCAUCUAGGUGUAGGCGCAGCGAAAGCAAGUCUUAAUAGGGCGAUUAGUUUUAUGAAUUAGACCCGAAAACGAAUGAGCUUACCAUGAGCAGGUUGAAAGCAAGGUAACACUUGCCGGAGGACCGAACCAGUUGACGUUGAAAAGUCUUUGGAUGACUUGUGGUAAGGGGUGAAAGGCCAACCAAAUUCGUAGAUAGCUGGUUUUCCGCGAAAACUAUUUAGGUAGUGCGUCGUGUGAAUCUUGUCGGGGGUAGAGCACUGAAUGGGCUAGGGGGAAGCAAUUCCUACCAAACCUAAUCAAACUCCGAAUACCGAUAAGUCUGCACGGCAGACAGUCCAUGGGUGCUAAGGUCCUUGGACGAGAGGGAAACAGCCCAGAUCAACAGCUAAGGUCCCCAAAUAAUGAUUAAGUGUGAAAGGGAGUGGGAACUCCAAGACAGCCAGGAGGUUGGCUUAGAAGCAGCCAUCCUUUAAAGAUAGCGUAACAGCUCACCGGUCUAAUAGAGUUUCUGCGCCGAAGAUGUAACGGGGCUAAAAUCACAUACCGAAUCUGUGGGUUUAUAAAGUUUUCGAACUUUAUAAGCGGUAGCGGAACGUUCUGUAAGCCUGUAAAGGGAUACCCGUGAGGGAUCCUGGAGGUAUCAGAAGUGCGAAUGCUGACAUAAGUAACGAUUAACAGAGUGAAAAACUCUGUCGCCGAAAAUCCAAGGGUUCCUGCGCAAGGUUAAUCCGCGCAGGGUUAGUCGGUCCCUAAGUCGAGGGCGAGAGCCGUAGACGAUGGAAACAAGGUUAAUAUUCCUUGACCAGAUGGAAGUGACGGAUUUUGUAAGUUGUUAACUCUUAAUGGAUUGAGUUAGCCGCGAAAAAGUCCCAGGAAAUAGCUCCAUCAUUAGACCGUACCCUAAACCGACACAGGUGGAUUAAUAGAGUAUAUUUAGGCGCUUGAGAGAAUGAUGUUGAAGGAACUCGGCAAAAUGCUUCUGUAACUUCGGAAUAAAGAAGACCUUUUUUAGGGCAACCUAUUAAAGGUGGCACAAGCCAGGGAGAAGCGACUGUUUAUCAAAAACACAGGGCUCUGCUAACACGUAAGUGGAUGUAUAGGGUCUGACGCCUGCCCGGUGCUGGAAGGUUAAUGCGAUGGGUGCAAGCUCAUUUCUGAAGCCCCAGUAAACGGCGGCCGUAACUAUAACGGUCCUAAGGUAGCGAAAUUCCUUGUCGGGUAAGUUCCGACCUGCACGAAUGGCGUAACGAUGGCCACACUGUCUCCACCAUAGACUCAGUGAAAUUGAAUUCUCGGUUAAGAUGCCGAGUAACCGUGGUUAGACGGAAAGACCCCGUGCACCUUUACUACAGGUUCACACUGGACUUUGACUUUAUUUGUGUAGGAUAGGUGGGAGACUUUGAAGCUAGGACGCUAGUCUUAGUGGAGUCGUCCUUGAAAUACCACCCUUGUAUGUUUGAUGUUCUAACAUUGUUCCCUUAUCGGGAAUGUGGACAGUGU